Molecule: ribosomal RNA, 253 nt
Filed under: uncultured bacterium
Lineage: Bacteria
Description: partial 16S ribosomal RNA
Rfam family: Bacterial small subunit ribosomal RNA
Source: RNAcentral
UACAGAGGGUGCGAGCGUUGUCCGGAAUCACUGGGCGUAAAGGGCGCGUAGGUGGCGGGAUAAGCGUGCGGUGAAAGCUCGGGGCUCAACUCCGAGUCUGCCGUGCGGACUGUCUUGCUCGAGCGUAGUAGAGGCAGGUGGAGUUCCGGGUGUAGCGGUGGAAUGCGUAGAGAUCCGGAAGAACACCGGUGGCGAAGGAGGCCUGCGGGGCUACUGCUGACACUGAGGCGAGACAGCGUGGGGAGCAAACAGG